AACAACAAAAAAACCAGAUUAAAGACAGCAGGUGGAGCCCACAUCAGAAGAUUUCUGUACAGUUUCUUUGAGUGUGGCUUCUUUCACUUGGCGUAAUACAUCUGAGAUCAUCUGUGAUGCCUGAAUAGCUGUUCAUUCCUUUUUCCUGCUGAGUAGUAUUCCAUGAUGAGGCACCUGCUGCUCAAAGAAGUGAAGAAACUUGCUCGAGAUCACGAAGUCAUCAAGUGGAGGAGUUGUAUUUGCACUUAGAUGGUCUCACCCUCCAGUCUUAAACAUUAUUCUGUGUUACCUCCCAAGAAGAGGGGUAUUCCCCACGUGGCUCUGCUGUUAAAGAUAGGAUGAGGUCUCUGGGAAGGAGAUGACCUCCUGAGGGCCAAGCAUGUGAAGAAAGAGGAAGUGGCGGAGGAGCAAGAAGGAGAAGAUAUGGUAAUACUUGACUUUUACAACAUUGUCUAUUCUGAGGGCUAUUAUAUGUGGUCCUCCAAGCAACCCAGUAGAGUGGACAGGAAGGAAAUAUAUCUCUUAAUUUCAGUUUCCUCAGUUAUAAAAUGGGGCACGAGACUUAUUUAAAGUCUCAAAACUAGCAAGUGUCAGAGAGGACUCUAAAACCCAGGUCUCCAGGCUCCAACUUUAGUGCCUUUCCCACCAUAUCAGCCAGCUCACUGCUUAUGACAUAGACUUGAGUAAAGAAACUUCUGGAUGACUUGAUGAUUUCUCUAGAACACUAGUUCUUCAACAGUGUUAAAGGUAUUACACACACACACAUGCACACGCACACACACAUGCACACAUAGGCAUUUCUGUUAAAUAAGUCUGUGGACGCUAGAAUGAGGAAAGGCAAAUAUGCUUCUUUGCCUCAGGACUUCUCGGUGCCUUUUCAGGCUCACUGAACAAGGGAUUUUUUUUAACUCAAUGAAUUUUAUUACAUUUAUAGUUGUACAAUGAUCAUCACAACCCAAUUUUUAUAGCAUUUCCAUCCCAAACCCCCAUCCCCCAACCUGUGUCCUUUGGAAACCAUACAUUUUCAAAGUCUGGAGUCAGUAUCUGUUCUACAAAGAAGUUCAUUGUAUCCUUUUUCUAGAUUCCACAUAUAGGUGAUAGCAUAUGACAUUAGUGGCUCACUAACUUCACUUAGCAUGAUAAUUUCUAAGCCCAUCCAUGUUGCUGCAAAUGUCAUUAUUUCUUUCCUUUUUAUGGCUGAGUAAUAUUCCAUUGUGUAUAUGUACCACCUUCUUUGUCCACGCCUCUGUCAAUGGACAUUUAAGUUGCUUCCAUGUCUUGGCUAUUAAAUACAGUGUUGCAGUGAAUAUUAGAGUACAUGUAUCAUUUUGAGUCAUGGUUUUCUCUGGAUAGAUGCCCAGGAGUGGGAUUGCUGGAUCAAAUGGUAAUUCUAUUUUUAGUUUCUUGAGGAAUAUCCAUACUGUUUUCCAUAGUGGUUCCACCAAUUUACCUUCCCACCAACAGUGUAAUAGGCUUCCCUUUUAUCCAUACCCUCUCCAGCAUUUAUUGUUUGUAGGGAUUUCUUGAUACUAUUCAAAACAGGGAGAAAGGAUACAGUGACGUCUUCUGUUGUGGAAUUCUUUCUUCACGGGUUACCUGGUAAGAACUAGUUUUCUAAGAAACAUGCUUGUAGAAUCCUUGCUUUGAUUUGCAAUUUUCUUCUUUAGCUCCCUCUAAAAACUUCAGAGAGAUGCUUAUGUGACCCGAGGAAGAUAUGGGGGGUGGUAACUCAGUGAUUAGCAGCACAUUUGUUUUUGGGCUGGGUGACCAUCACACCCAGCUCUCUGUUCUUACACAGGUCUGUCCUUCAAAGGCCUCAGAUCUCCAUAGGGGAAGGCUGGCCUGGAGGUCCAGGGCUCUGCUAACCCCUGUGGUGUGACCUUAGGCAAGUCAAGUUCCCACUUUGGACUUUGGAUUCCUGUCCUGUAAAGAGUACGUGCGUCUCACCAAGGCACUCUGUUAAGAUACAGAAUCUAGUUCCUCCCUAGAGAUUGCCAUUCAGUGGGUUUGGGGUGAGGUUUUGGAAUCUGUAUUUAUAAUUGUCAUGCCUGUGAUUUUGGUGUGAAAGCCUGUCUACACUAGGGCCCUGAAGGGAUUUAUUUAGACCAGUGAGGAUCACAGAGAGGGCUCUGAACACAUGAAAGAGAUGAGGAAGUCAGCCCUACACCUCAGGUGAUGUCAAGUGCCCGCCUCCCUGAGAAGCAGCCAUUCUACCCCAGACUCCCAUCAUCCACAUCUUCUUACCUGGGCUUUACUAUUUUUAUUCCUCUCUAUUUGGUAAUUAUUUACUAACAGCUCUCUUGGGGAGAUGGGAGGAAUCCCUUUGUGUAUCUACAAUUCACUACCUAUUAUGAGGCAUUACCAAAAAAAAAAAAA
RNAcentral lists this long non-coding RNA (2376 nucleotides) under Sus scrofa (pig). RNAcentral describes it as "lncRNA (ENSSSCG00060055125.1)". The record is from RNAcentral. Lineage: Eukaryota; Metazoa; Chordata; Mammalia; Artiodactyla; Suidae.